This 300-nucleotide ribosomal RNA is filed under the name Triticum aestivum (bread wheat). RNAcentral's name for it is "partial small subunit ribosomal RNA". The record is from RNAcentral. Lineage: Eukaryota; Viridiplantae; Streptophyta; Magnoliopsida; Poales; Poaceae.
AUGAGUGCUUUGGUUGACGAUUUGGAUUGUCGAGUAAUAGUUGAGUGCUAUUUAUGUCUAGUUCAGGAGAGGCAAACAGGGAAGAGGCUUGGGACUGGAACUAGGCGUAAUGGGCUAUGGUACAUGGAUCAAGAGGUGCCAAACAAUACGGUGUAUGUGAUGUUAGCAACAAUGAUGGGAGAAAAGGAAACAAAGGCAAUGCUUCAUCAUUGUAGAAUGGGGCAUAUGUCUUUUGAGAAGAUGAGUAAAGUCUUUCCCGAUGUAAUGUGUGGUGUGGAUAAGAACAAGUUUGUGUGGUGA